This 76-nucleotide transfer RNA is filed under the name Scleromatobacter humisilvae. RNAcentral describes it as "tRNA-Arg". It matches the Rfam family "tRNA". Rfam says of the family: Transfer RNA (tRNA) molecules are approximately 80 nucleotides in length. Lineage: Bacteria; Pseudomonadati; Pseudomonadota; Betaproteobacteria; Burkholderiales; Sphaerotilaceae. The record is from RNAcentral.
GCGUCCGUAGCUCAGUGGCAAGAGCACGACUCUCCGAAGGUCGGGGUCGGUGGUUCGAGUCCACCCGGACGCGCCA